Molecule: ribosomal RNA, 618 nt
Filed under: fungal sp. MG196Th4L3x
Lineage: Eukaryota; Fungi
Description: eukaryotic LSU rRNA
Rfam family: 5.8S ribosomal RNA (bases 251-404)
Source: RNAcentral
UCUUGGUCAUUUAGAGGAAGUAAAAGUCGUAACAAGGUUUCCGUAGGUGAACCUGCGGAAGGAUCAUUAAAGAGAUAGGGUCUUCAUGGCCCGACCUCCAACCCUCUGUUGUUAAAACUACCUUGUUGCUUUGGCGGGACCGUCUCGGUCUCCGAGCGCACUAACCCUCGGGUUGGUGAGCGCCCGCCAGAGUCCAACCAAACUCUUGUAUUAAACCAGUCGUCUGAGUAUAAAAUUUUAAUUAAAUUAAAACUUUCAACAACGGAUCUCUUGGUUCUCGCAUCGAUGAAGAACGCAGCGAAAUGCGAUAAGUAAUGUGAAUUGCAGAAUUCAGUGAAUCAUCGAAUCUUUGAACGCACAUUGCGCCCCUUGGUAUUCCGAGGGGCAUGCCUGUUCGAGCGUCAUUACACCACUCAAGCAUCGCUUGGUAUUGGGAACGGUCCGUCGAAAGGCGGGCCUUCCUCGAAGACCUCGGCGGGGUUCAACCAACUUCGGGCGUAGUAGAGUUAAAUCGAACGUCUUAUAAGCUUGGUCGGAUCUCAUUGCCGUUAAACCUUUAAAUUUUCUAGGUUGACCUCGGAUCAGGUAGGGAUACCCGCUGAACUUAAGCAUAUCAAU